GCCGGUGUGUUGGAACUGGCAGACGAGACGGACUCAAAAUCCGUUGUCCUUCGAGGACGUGUGGGUUCGAGUCCCACCACCGGCACCA
RNAcentral lists this transfer RNA (88 nucleotides) under Tepidimicrobium xylanilyticum. RNAcentral describes it as "tRNA-Leu". It matches the Rfam family "tRNA". Rfam says of the family: Transfer RNA (tRNA) molecules are approximately 80 nucleotides in length. Their secondary structure includes four short double-helical elements and three loops (D, anti-codon, and T loops). RNAcentral also lists the same sequence under 1 other name. The record is from RNAcentral. Lineage: Bacteria; Bacillati; Bacillota; Tissierellia; Tissierellales; Tepidimicrobiaceae.